Molecule: ribosomal RNA, 253 nt
Filed under: uncultured prokaryote
Description: partial 16S ribosomal RNA
Rfam family: Bacterial small subunit ribosomal RNA
Source: RNAcentral
ACGGAGGGUGCGAGCGUUGUCCGGAAUCACUGGGCGUAAAGGGCGCGUAGGCGGCUCGGUAAGCGUGCGGUGAAAGCCUGGGGCUCAACCCCGGGUCGGCCGUGCGAACUGUCGAGCUCGAGCACUGUAGAGGCAGGCGGAAUUCCGGGUGUAGCGGUGGAAUGCGUAGAUAUCCGGAGGAACACCAGUGGCGAAGGCGGCUUUCUGGACCGACACUGACGCUGAGGCGCGAAAGCUAGGGGAGCAAACGGGA